Molecule: non-coding RNA, 24 nt
Filed under: Cricetulus griseus (Chinese hamster)
Lineage: Eukaryota; Metazoa; Chordata; Mammalia; Rodentia; Cricetidae
Source: RNAcentral
CCUGCCUCUGCCUCCUAGUGCUGG